UACGUAGGGGGCGAGCGUUGUCCGGAUUUAUUGGGCGUAAGGAGCUCGUAGGCGGCUUAGCAAGUCGGGUGUGAAAACUCCAGGCUCAACCUGGAGACGCCACUCGAGACUGCUAUGGCUAGAGUCCGGUAGGGGACCACGGAAUUCCUGGUGUAGCGGUGAAAUGCGCAGAUAUCAGGAGGAACACCGGUGGCGAAGGCGGUGGUCUGGGCCGGCACUGACGCUGAGGAGCGAAAGCGUGGGGAGCAAACAGG
This 254-nucleotide ribosomal RNA is filed under the name uncultured bacterium. Its description in RNAcentral is "partial 16S ribosomal RNA". It matches the Rfam family "Bacterial small subunit ribosomal RNA", at positions 524 to 776 of the family's 1533-position model. The record is from RNAcentral.